AGACUCCUGGUUCCAGUAUGGACAAUCUAGACAGCUCUGUAACAGGAAAAGCCUUUACUUCCUCUCAAAGGCAGCGGCCCACCAGCCCAUUUUCUACAGACAGUAACACCAGUGCUGCCCAGAAUCAAAGCCAGAGGCCUCGGCCCACCAAAAAACACAAGGGAGGGCGGAUGGACCCACAGCCAGUGUUACCUCAUCGGAGGGAAGGCGGGCACAGCUCAUCCGGAACAGCCUCCUCUAAAGGGUCCACUGGUCCUCGGAAGGCUGAGAUUCUGAGGGGCAGCCACCAGCGGAAUGCCAAUGACCUUCUCGACAUUGGAUAUGUGGGCUCAAAUAGUCAAGGGCAGUUUACAGAGUAACUGAGAGGAGACAUACAAAGACGCUCUGAGGACCAUCAGGUCCAAACUCAUGGAAGUGAUGACAUUUAACAGUGCAAUGAACAAUUUCUUUAUUUAUGUACUAUUAAAAAAUACUGUAAAUGCAAUGUAAAGACACAGCCACACAUAUCCCACAGUUCUUUUCUUGUGUCCUUCUCUUACUUACACCACCCACCUUAACUCUUUCUUGUCAGGAGUAUAUAAGAAAAAGAAAGAA
This 594-nucleotide long non-coding RNA is filed under the name Rattus norvegicus (Norway rat). RNAcentral describes it as "long non-coding RNA NONRATT006802". The record is from RNAcentral. Lineage: Eukaryota; Metazoa; Chordata; Mammalia; Rodentia; Muridae.